GGCGCCAAGAAACCGCGUAACAGCUGACCUGGGAGUGCCUGUGCGGCGACCUGAAACCCCGUAACCAACAGAACGAAGACAUCUACGUGGCGCCCAAGUCGGUGAUUUUCAGCCUUGUCUCUGCGUGUUCCUCGGGUGAUGUGGCACGCACGUUAACCAUGCCUCCCCCAUGCUCCCACUUAUUUACGGAUCUGCCAUCGCCCCAAAACACCAGGAGAGCGAGUAAAAGGGACCCGACCGUAGCCACCCACUUCUUUCCAUGCCCCAAGCUGCCCACUUAAUCAGCUGUAUCUUUUAGGGCCUCUCGUCAGCUGCCACGUGGCGCAAACCCAGUUCCCCAGUGGAUAUAACAGCAACCACCAAGGAACCCAAUUGAAUUAACACACAGCCUCUAGUUUUUCCUCGUUUUUUUUGGGGGGGGGGGGUCUCUUUUUCUCUUCCAAUUGCUUCUGACAAUGGUCCAUUGCUUCUUCCUUCUUGGUUCAUGCUUCUUUUAGUACAGUAUUAUUGUUGCCUUUUUAACUCUUCUAAUUCAUCAAAAUUCAAACUAAUUAAGAUUUCUUGUUAAUUUUGUGGAAUAGUAUAGUAUGGACCCUUCAUGUGAGUUUUGUGGGUUGGUGAGAGGCGUUGUGUAUUGCAAAUCAGAUUCAGCCAGGCUGUGCCUGCGCUGUGAUAAUUGUGUGCAUUCUGCUAAUUACCUGUCCAGGAGGCAUCAAAGAUCACUGCUGUGUGAUAAGUGCAACUCACAGCCUGCAAUUGCCCGCUGUGUGGAUGACAAAAUGUCUCUGUGUCAAACUUGUGAAUGGAGUGGCAGCAGCGGCUGCUCGGGCCUCGGCCAUUCGCUCCAGCCUCUGAGUAGUUACUCGGGCUGCCCUUCUCUGGCCGAGUUCUCGAGGAUUUGGUCCUCUGUUCUUGAUGUGCCACCUUCUUCUGGUGGCCUGGAUGCCGGUUGUCAUCCGAUGAUUGCGCUCCCUUGCGUUACUAAUUGUUUGGAGCCUAAUGAGGGGUCGGUUGGGUUGAUUACGAGCAAUUUGAAUGACUUGCAACCCUGUGCCAAAUUUGAGCCUUGGAUGGCUCCCUCUUCUGUGAUCCCACCCAGCCUGGAUUACUUGCCUUCGCUCAGUAAAGAUAGGGAUCUUCUGUUUAACCAAGAAUCAGAUCUCUCAAAGGGUUAUUCUAAUUCCAAGAACCUCGAACUUCACUAUGGUGAAGGCCUCUGCGGAGGUCUCAAUGUGGAUGACGUUGCGUUGAACAUUGAGGGUUGUGACGAGAUAUUUGAUUCCUUGCAAGGCUAUUCUAGAUGCAGUUUUGAGGAGGGGGGAACAGAUCAAGUAAUGGAGAAAAAUGCAUCAGUUACUGAAUCUAACGGUCACGUCGAAAAUGCUUUGGAGGCGUCAUCAUCACAGCAACAAGCAUGUAUGGGUUUCCAGUCCUCAAGCAUUGCCGGGUCAGCUAAUAUGAUGCAGGUUAUGAGGAGCAAUGAGAAUAGCAUCCCUGUGAACCCAAGCUGCAGUAGAAAUAUAGACUUGGGUUUCGUAAAUGGACAAAUCCACUCAAGCUUAUCACUUUCACUGUCCAAUAUAACUGGUGAAAGUAGCGCUACUGAUUAUCAGGAUUGCGGCUUAUCGCCAAUGUUCCUGAUGGGUGAAUCACCAUGGCAGUCAAAUUUGGAGGUCAGUUGCCCUCAAGCAAGGGACAAAGCUAAGAUGAGAUACAAUGAAAAGAAGAAAACAAGAAUGUUUGGCAAGCAGAUAAGAUAUGCUUCACGUAAGGCCCGAGCUGAUACCAGAAAGCGUGUGAAAGGAAGAUUUGUGAAGGCUGGUGAAGCGUGUGAUCAGGACCCUCUUAUGUAAGGAACUUUUGAGCUGGAUCAUGAACUUCUCUAGUCUCUUCGUAUCAAGGCCAAGACUCAAAGAGGCCCAAUCUUUCUUUCCUGUUUUCAGAAACCAAUCUUCAACGACGAUUCAGGCAUCAUUCUUCAGCAUGGUACAUAUCUUCAUCUCAUAUCUUCAAUUGCAACUAUACAUGCAGAAUGUUAGUCUAUUUCCAUGUUCCAUCUAUGCAUUGGAAGAUCUUUUCGCUGCAUAGCCUCUUCGAGUUGAUAAGAGUGAUGCUCAUUGGAGUGACCCGUCAACUCUUCAGCGAAGCCUCUACAGCCCGUCAACAUACCAUAGAUUCUCAUAGGUAAUUUACUUAAUCUCAGAGGUACAUCGCACUAGGACGUGUCAUCCUCUGCUCAGUUAUCUGGAGUAGCAGCUUGGAGGUGCCAUCAGGAUGUUAUGUGAUUCUUUCUUCACAUCUAGCAUGCGAAUGACACCCUAAUAAGAUUCAUUUCUCUUCCCCAAUUCAAUGAUAACAUUUCUUCCUUUCCAAAUGAAGCACUCUCUCAUCUUUGCCUUUAUCACAGUUGAAUCUUGUGUUUUCCCUUUGCCAUAAGCUAGUUUUUGGCUUGGUCUGGUGUGUACAGCAUCGAGAGGGUUCUUUUCCAUACAAUAAUAAGCUUCAAAUAAUUCCACUUUGUGAGAUGAAAGAAACCACUAUUCAAUGCUUCAACUCUCUUGUAACUAAGGUUCAUCUCCACUCUCCUUACAUUGUCACUUCAUCAAUUAGUGUCACUUUAUUUCUUGUUUUUUCAGUCACUAUUUUAUUGUUGUCCAGAGUAUGAUCUUUGUUCUCUCUCUUAUUUUUCUAAAAAAAUAUUUUAUUACAAUUUUAUUUUUUGAGUUUUAAUUGUCUUAGUUCACGAGGACAUGGCCAUGAACAAAAAUGGUUGGAGAUCUAGAAUUUAUAUAGCUAACCCUACCUAAUCAAAUUAAGGCUCGAGAUUGUUGGUGAUGUUAUUGGGAAGAUGAGGCCCACGGCAACACUUAUCAAUCUUCUGCAAGCUUAAGGCUUUCAUCUCUCGGUGUAAGCUCUAAUGAUCAAAAUAGUAUUUGGUAACGAGAGAGAGAUCGAGUAAAGUAAUUAGUCAGAAGGAAGUAAAUGCAUACUUGUCCUUGAAGAAUUGAGAGCUUUUAUAGCCCACACAACAGAUGGUCAAGGUGUAAUUUUCACUGGAGACUCUUUCUUUCUAAGACGUGACCCAAGCAUGGUCAAAAGGCGUGAUGUUAGGGGUUUGAGGCAUGGUCAUUAAUGGUCAUUAAUGGUCGGGGCGCUAUAUUUUGCCAUGUGGUGGGCACAUUGAAAACUAUGUAAUCACAAAAAACAAAUUGUGACUUUUAAGUCAUGAAUUUUGGAGAUUUUUCCUAAGAAUUCUCCAAGAACUAUUAUAUUGGAUAGAAAAAUGUAAGUUACCGUUUGAGUUUGUUUAGGGCACUUUUAUAGGACUAAACACCUUUUCAAAACAAACACAACUGCUAUAUAUAGUUGCUGUAUUGAAUUUAAAAAGAGCAGUUAUCGUUUGAGUAGUGAUAAUGAUGCACAAAAUAACUGACAAAAAUUAUAAUUUAAUCUCCAGCCACCAAGUGCCCAAUUUCCUUUUAGGAAUGAGAAUUUUAGACUACGUUUUUUUUUUUUGUUGUUUUCAAGUCAUU
Molecule: RNA transcript, 3533 nt
Organism: Diospyros lotus (date-plum)
Lineage: Eukaryota; Viridiplantae; Streptophyta; Magnoliopsida; Ericales; Ebenaceae
Gene name: putative zinc finger protein CONSTANS-LIKE 11
Exons: 5
Source: RefSeq, a predicted model, not a curated record